GCCAGGUGUGGUGGCGUGCACCUGUAAUCCCAGCUGUUCGGGAGGCUGAGGCAGGAGAAUCACUUGAACCCGGGAGUUGGAGGUUGCAGUGAGCCAAGAGUGUGUCACUGCACUCCAGCCUGGGCAACAGAGUGAGACUCUGUCUUUA
This is an unclassified non-coding RNA of Macaca fascicularis (crab-eating macaque), 148 nucleotides long. It matches the Rfam family "Metazoan signal recognition particle RNA". Rfam says of the family: The signal recognition particle (SRP) is a universally conserved ribonucleoprotein. The record is from Ensembl. Lineage: Eukaryota; Metazoa; Chordata; Mammalia; Primates; Cercopithecidae.